This 711-nucleotide ribosomal RNA is filed under the name uncultured bacterium. RNAcentral's name for it is "bacterial SSU rRNA". It matches the Rfam family "Bacterial small subunit ribosomal RNA", at positions 61 to 751 of the family's 1533-position model. The record is from RNAcentral.
GUCGAACGCGAAAGGGGGCUUCGGCUCCCGAGUAGAGUGGCGCACGGGUGAGUAACGCGUGGAUAAUCUGCCCUCUUGUUCGGGAUAACUGCUGGAAACGGCAGCUAAUACUGGAUAAGCUCCACCAAUUGUAUGGUGGAGGAAAGGAGGCCUCUUCAUGAAAGCUUCCGCGAGGGGAUGAGUCCGCGUCCCAUUAGCUAGUUGGUGAGGUAACGGCCCACCAAGGCAACGAUGGGUAGCCGGUCUAAGAGGAUGACCGGCCACACUGGAACUGAAACACGGUCCAGACUCCUACGGGAGGCAGCAGUGGGGAAUAUUGCGCAAUGGACGAAAGUCUGACGCAGCGACGCCGCGUGAGGGAUGAAGGUUUUCGGAUCGUAAACCUCUGUCAGGAGGGAAGAAAGCGCAUGGCGCCAAUCAGCCAUGCGUUGACGGUACCUCCAAAGGAAGCGCCGGCUAACUCCGUGCCAGCAGCCGCGGUAAUACGGAGGGCGCGAGCGUUAAUCGGAAUUACUGGGCGUAAAGCGCGCGUAGGCUGUUGUGUAAGUUGGGGGUGAAAUCCCACGGCUCAACCGUGGAACAGCCCUUGAUACUGCGCGACUUGAAUCCGGGAGAGGGUGGCGGAAUUCCAGGUGUAGGAGUGAAAUCCGUAGAUAUGGGGAGGAACAUCAGUGGCGAAGGCGGCCACCUGGACCGGUAUUGACGCUGAGG